AUACGGAGGAUCCGAGCGUUAUCCGGACUUAUUGGGUUUAAAGGUAGCGUAGGUGGCUUGUUAAGUCAGUUGUGAAAGUUUGCGGCUCAACCGUAAAAUUGCAGUUGAAACUGGCAGUCUUGAGUACAGUAGAGGUGGGCGGAAUUCGUGGUGUAGCGGUGAAAUGCUUAGAUAUCACGAAGAACUCCGAUUGCGAAGGCAGCUCAAUAGUCUGUUACUGACACUGAUGCUCGAAAGUGUAAGUAUCAAACGGGAUUCGAUACCUUCGUAGUCCACCCACUAGACGAUGAAUACUCGCUUUGUGGGAGAUACAGUAAGCGGCGUGGCGAAAGCAUCAAGUAUGCCACCUGGGCAGUAUCCCGGCAACAGUGAUAAGCAAGUGGAUUGACGGGG
RNAcentral lists this ribosomal RNA (393 nucleotides) under uncultured bacterium. Its description in RNAcentral is "partial 16S ribosomal RNA". It matches the Rfam family "Bacterial small subunit ribosomal RNA", at positions 523 to 918 of the family's 1533-position model. The record is from RNAcentral.